Chlorocebus sabaeus (green monkey) is the source of this 71-nucleotide regulatory RNA element. The record is from Rfam. NCBI's taxonomy places the organism in Eukaryota, Metazoa, Chordata, Mammalia, Primates, Cercopithecidae.
AAUAUCCCUGAGAUCUAACUGCAGCUUUCAAGGUCCUCUCUACAGUUCUUUCUAAGAGGUCCAAGGAUUUU